GAACAAUUGACUAUCUCAUAGAUAUUGCUGAGAAGAUAAAUUCAUGGAUACAAGAACUGCAAUUUAUUCAAACACAAUUAAAUUCUUUGUCAAAGAAUAUGAAUAGAAUCAAAACAAACAGGGAAGGGAGAGAAUUUCUUAUGUUUGGAACUAAAAGUCUUUAUUAACCAAGUUCACAAUCUAACAGAAUGAAUAACUAAUGGAAACCCAAGUGUAAAAUCCUUUAGUAGAGUCCUGUCUUAAUUACUAACAACAGCUCUUUAUCCAACUCAAGAUUUCCUGCAGCACAUGCUCCCAUCUCAAUGAAAGAAAAUCAUUGCAGAUUCUCAGUAACAAAAGAAAAAU
This 345-nucleotide unclassified non-coding RNA is filed under the name Hevea brasiliensis (rubber tree). Lineage: Eukaryota; Viridiplantae; Streptophyta; Magnoliopsida; Malpighiales; Euphorbiaceae. The record is from RNAcentral.